GACGAACGCUGGCGGCGUGCUUAACACAUGCAAGUCGAACGGAAAGGCCCUGAUUUUGUGGGGUGCUCGAGUGGCGAACGGGUGAGUAACACGUGAGUAACCUGCCCUUGACUUUGGGAUAACUUCAGGAAACUGGGGCUAAUACCGGAUAGGAUCUCCUGCUGCAUGGUGGGGGUUGGAACGUUUCGGCGGUUGGGGAUGGACUCGCGGCUUAUCAGCUUGUUGGUCGGGUAGUCGCUUACCAAGCCUUUGACGGGUAGCCGGCCUGAGAGGGUGACCGGCCACAUUGCGCCUGAGAUACGGCGCAGACUCCUAUGGGAGACAGCAGUGGGGAGCAUUGCACAAUGAGAGGGAGCGUGAGACAGCGGCGCCGCGGGCGGAAUGACGGCCUUCUGGUUGAAAACAGCUGUCGCCUGUGACGAAGCGUGAGUGACGGUAAUGGGUAAAGAAGCACCGGCUAACUACGUG
RNAcentral lists this ribosomal RNA (468 nucleotides) under uncultured bacterium. Its description in RNAcentral is "partial 16S ribosomal RNA". It matches the Rfam family "Bacterial small subunit ribosomal RNA", at positions 28 to 507 of the family's 1533-position model. The record is from RNAcentral.